RNAcentral lists this long non-coding RNA (2240 nucleotides) under Homo sapiens (human). RNAcentral describes it as "HSALNT0344447". Lineage: Eukaryota; Metazoa; Chordata; Mammalia; Primates; Hominidae. The record is from RNAcentral.
AGGAGAGUCCACAAACAAAUUCAUUACUUUAGAAAAGACUUUCAAAUAAAAAUCUUUCCAGGAGUAGUAAUUGCUAUAAAGGUCAAGAAACUACAUUGUGGGAAAUUAGUAAAUAUGCAAAAUAUUGAUUGAAGAAAAUUGCAUCAAAUCUCCCAAGAAUGUAUUAAAUCCUGGUAGAGUUUGAGUAACAAUGACUGCUUUUCUACAAUUAUAUUUGCAGAAAGUUAGAAUUUCUAAGACGUGAAAAUGACACCUUGCCAUCAGUUUGCUUUUUAUUUUCAAAGUGCUUCCUCAUGAAACAGGUGGUAAUUGUAUUAAUAAAAUUUAAACGAUUAAUAUUGUAGCGUGCUUGGAACAAUAUAUGGCAUAUGGUAAGUGCUCGAUAAAUGUUAGUUAUUUACAUGUAUCUUUAAAAUUUCAAAUCCCUUCAAACAUAUUAUCUCAUUUGACCGUCAGGCGACCUCUCUGGGUUGGUGAAGUACUGGAUGCAUCCUUUUCACCCACAUUUCUUAGUGUCUCUUCUGUGCCAGACCCAUGAGACAUCACCCUGAGCAGUGGUCUCCUGAAAGAUGACUGUGCAAAGAAACAAUCACAGAAAUAAUGCAGCAAAUGAAAGGCUUAUUCUAGGAGGGGAAAGGGGAUUCCUGUGACGGGCGACUGGUGAGGGCCCUUUCAAUGACGACGCCAUCUUCAAACAGACACAGAGCGAGCCGUAAGCACAGCAGGCAGCAUCACGGGAUGCCGAGCUUUUAAUGACGCCUUGUGUUGCACAGUGCGUGUGCCACGAGCUAUGACAUCUGCAUUUUUGGGCCCUCCUUGGUGGGAGGGGGACCCAUGGGUGGCCUAAGAGCAGAAAUAAUGCCUGGUGCUACGGAAGCAGGCUGUGGGCAGGCGGGCCCUGACACGCCAUCAGCAUUUCUUGGCAUCACGACUUGCGUCUGAGGACCAGGUAGACAUGGAACUUUGCAAAUGAGGCGGCCCCGCUGAUCCAGGGGCACAGGUCCUGCAAGACCUUGACAGAUGUCUCCAGGAUUUGUGUCCUCUCCGCCAGAAGGCAGAAUGUCCAAUUUAUAACUGUAACCCGGACCCCCGCAAAUACACAUUCCAGUGCCAAAAUGAAUAAAGCUGAAUGUAAGCGUUUUUAUUUUUUCUAUGACCAGAAAAUGCUCACCACUUUUUCCCUAUCCAGUUUUAGAGGCGAUAAAUGCCGUGCAGUUUCUAGGACUUGAUUCUAUAGUGCCGUGUACUUCCUAUUAAUUAGUUCAUUUAUAUUUGUCCUGCUCAGGCUAAAUCAUAAAUAGUCAUAAGAAUCAUAAUAUCCUCGGAUAGCACCAGGCACUGUACUCAGCAUAGACUUGAAGCUUAAUUAACUCGAGCAAAUUGGAUGGAGAGCAGAGGAAAAUGAGAAAGAUGUGAAAAUGAUGGGAGAGAAGACAAGAAGCUCCAGCCUCCUCCUGAAAGCUGGAGCAGGAGAGACGGCAGGAAACACAGGCUCGAGACGGAAGGCGGAAGGCGGAAGGCGGAAGGCGGAACUCAACCCAGGAGCCUCCCGCCGGAAGUUGUGCGAUUUCUUUAAUCAGAGUGGCUUCCCACAAAUGUAUUUCCUGCCUGAUCCCGCUGUCUGUGUCCUUGCAGUGUGAGUGGCAGAAUCCCUUGAAGAAGACCGAGCCAGUGACCUCGUUUCUGAAAUAAAAGGCGGGAAGUGAGGGAGCCAGUGGUCACCGGGCAGCCAACCCAGAAGGAAAAAUCUCCAAGAGUGGGAACAGUUAAUCAUCAUCAUCAUGAUAAUUAGCAUUUACCAAGUACGUUUGCCACAUCUCGAGCUGCGAGCUGCCUGUGCCCAUCUCAUGGAGCCCUGGAGUUUUUAUUCUCCCCACCUUCUAUUCAGGCAAACUGAGGCUUCGAGAAUCAUGACCCAGGCAAACUGCAAGAUUCUCGGUAACACGAGAAAGACAGGACUUUGCUCACUGGCUAGUGUUUCCUAUCACAAAAAUAACAGCAGAGUUCAUACUUCUGACAAAGUUUUACAACUAAGGAAGAAAAAAAAUCAGGUUCCUGGUUGGUCACCCCUCGGCUCCAGCAGAUGUAGGGGCUGGAGCACUCCCUGUGUUUGGUUCAACAAGGCUGACGUCGGGCUCGUGUGCUGGGACUGGACUCCGCCGUCAGCUCCUUAGGACCUGGCAGCUUCUCCUCUUGGCUUUUUGUAAAAAUUAGAGUAAUUUAAAUCUCCAAUAUGUUGU